RNAcentral lists this ribosomal RNA (253 nucleotides) under uncultured bacterium. RNAcentral's name for it is "partial 16S ribosomal RNA". It matches the Rfam family "Bacterial small subunit ribosomal RNA", at positions 524 to 776 of the family's 1533-position model. The record is from RNAcentral.
UACGAAGGGGGCUAGCGUUGCUCGGAAUCACUGGGCGUAAAGGGUGCGUAGGCGGGUCUUUAAGUCAGGGGUGAAAUCCUGGAGCUCAACUCCAGAACUGCCUUUGAUACUGAGGAUCUUGAGUACGGGAGAGGUGAGUGGAACUGCGAGUGUAGAGGUGAAAUUCGUAGAUAUCUACUGGAACGCCGAUGGUGAAGACGCUCGGCUGGGCCUUUCCUGACGCUGAGGCACGAAAGCGUGGGGAGCAAACAGG